GAUGAAGAACGCAGCGAAAUGCGAUAAGUAAUGCGAAUUGCAGAAUUCAGUGAGUCAUCGAAUCUUUGAACGCACAUUGCGCCCUGUGGUAUUCCGCAGGGCAUGCCUGUUCGAGCGUCAUUUCAACCCUCAAGCCCCGCUUGGUGUUGGGCCCCGCCCGCCGUGGCCGGCCCUAAAGACAGUGGCGGCGCCGCCUGGCCCUCAGCGUAGUACAGCUCUCGCUCCAGGGUCCGGCGGCCGCCUGCCAGAACCCCCCCAGCUCUGUGGUUGACCUCGGAUCAGGUAGGGAUACCCGCUGAACUUAAGCAUAUCAAUAAGCGGAGGA
Molecule: unclassified non-coding RNA, 325 nt
Filed under: soil metagenome
Description: partial contains 5.8S ribosomal RNA, internal transcribed spacer 2, and large subunit ribosomal RNA
Rfam family: 5.8S ribosomal RNA (bases 1-120)
Source: RNAcentral